RNAcentral lists this ribosomal RNA (434 nucleotides) under uncultured bacterium. RNAcentral's name for it is "partial 16S ribosomal RNA". It matches the Rfam family "Bacterial small subunit ribosomal RNA", at positions 29 to 507 of the family's 1533-position model. The record is from RNAcentral.
AGCGAACGCUGGCGGCAGGCCUAACACAUGCAAGUCGAACGAACCUUUCGGGGUUAGUGGCGGACGGGUGAGUAACACGUGGGAACGUGCCUUUAGGUUCGGAAUAACUCAGGGAGACUUGUGCUAAUACCGAAUGUGCCCUUCGGGGGAAAGAUUAAUCGCCUUUAGAGCGGCCCGCGUCUGAUUAGCUAGUUGGUUGAGGUAAUGGCUCACCAAGGCGACGAUCAGUAGCUGGUCUGAGAGGAUGAUCAGCCACAUUGGGACUGAGACACGGCCCAAACUCCUACGGGAGGCAGCAGUGGGGAAUCUUGCGCAAUGGGCGAAAGCCUGACGCAGCCAUGCCGCGUGAAUGAUGAAGGUCUUAGGAUUGUAAAAUUCUUUCACCGGGGACGAUAAUGACGGUACCCGGAGAAGAAGCCCCGGCUAACUUCGUG